Molecule: long non-coding RNA, 574 nt
Organism: Ailuropoda melanoleuca (giant panda)
Lineage: Eukaryota; Metazoa; Chordata; Mammalia; Carnivora; Ursidae
Exons: 3
Source: RefSeq, a predicted model, not a curated record
CGGAUCGAUGAUGACUCCCUCAUUCUGCAUUCCUUGGAAAAGCUGAACAAAAUGAGUGAGAACUCCCUACCAUCGUUCUCAUCGAAACUGAGGUCCGGCACGUUGUCUCCCCCAGGGCAGGGUCCCGGAGUGAUGCAUUAGCAAUGGCUCGCCGGCCAGCCGGGUCUGCAUCAGCUGGCUUAGCCGAUCUUGGCCCUGGAGAUCUUCCUUUCUUCAAGCCGGUAACGAGUACUUGCAAUCAGAGGUCUUUCACUCGGGGGUACCAGGUGGAGUUGGCUUGACGCUGGUGUCUGUGAACAUCUGCAAGCCCCAUUCUGCCUGAUCCGCCAAGCCCUGCGUGCCAGGCGAGAGCACCCCGGGAGACAUGGACCUUGUUGGCUGCGGUCACGUGGCAGUCGCCAGCGUAAGCGGUUAGCUGCUCUUCUCUGCCACAACCAACAGGGGUCCACCCGGCUUCCUCCUUGGACAAGGAUGGCUCCCCUCGCCGCCCGGUGGCUUGGCCCUGGAUUCUCACGAGGGCGGACUUGUGUGAAUUCACUGGCCGUCCCAGGCUGGAGCCCGGCACUUUUUUUUU